AGUCCCGGAUAUUUGCAGCAAGGGACGGGCUGAGGUUCCCAGGUAGGACGCCCCUAAAAGAUGCCUAGGAGAAGCAUUUAAAAAUGGAGGCGUUGAUGGGACUGCGUAGGAUCUCUGCCGCCGCCGGUCACCCUAAACUCCGGACUCUCCUCUUUUACGAUUUCGGGGCUCUUUCGCUCAGCUGCCUUUGAGUAGAUGUGGGUGCUGCUGCCGGGAGGGCCUUUGCUACUGAAUGGCGUGUGAGAAAAAGCUUGAAAAGAACGGAAUCACUUUCUUGGUCACUUCACUUCUUCUUCUCCCUCAAGGACAGCACAAAUGAACUCUAAUAACUCGUUUACUAUCGAGGUGUCAAGGCUCCUCGAUAAUAAACGGGGGAAACAGAAGAUUGGAGUGACCAGAUCUUGGCUGCCAAAAAUCAGGUUGACCACUAGAUGAUGGCAUAGAGUACAAGCAUCUCUAAUUCUUUCUUUGGGGGAGGGGAGCAAUCGCUCGGAUUUGUACAGCCCCAAUUUAAUAGCCUUAAAUAAGUUUUUUUUUUAAAAAAGUUCCUGAAUUCUUAUCUUAUCUAUUUUCGCAGGACCAAGUUUGGCUCACCACUAGGGCUGCGUUGGGAUGUUAGAAAGGCCUACUGCUGCAGUUGCCUAAACCAGGAACCGGAGACUUUUCAUCCCUUUCGGAAUAAGUAGGCCUUGUCUACCCGCAAGAAUUACUCUGAUUUGUUUAGCCUUAGAAGCAAGCAAAGGGAUCAAGGCCGCCACACGAGGCCCGCAGGAGGAAGAGAAGCCGACCACAGCAGCGAAGGGAAGAGGUAAACAGGCCUUGGAUUGCAGGCUGGGAUGAUUCAGAUUGACUUCCACGGAACUGCCCCCAGGAUCUAGCUUCCAAGAAUUCUUGUUGGCACUGGUCUCUAAACCAGAAAGCCUUGGCCGAACCUAAGAUGGAAUUACUAUAGGAAUCAAGUUGCAUUUGGACUGGCUCCAAAGAAUUCCAUCAGACAGUUUCAAUUUUGCCAGAAUGAACUUAAAAGCAUGAACUAAAGAAUCAAUCCUCUUGACCAGUCCUCUUGACUCUAGUUCAAGCAAAAGAAAAAGCCUUGCAAAUUCAACUUGAAGCUUCGUCACCAUUUCCUCAGUUGCUGAGAAUAGUCACAAUGCAAGAAAGGAAAUAAAGAAGGUCAGUGGCAGAAAGCCUUGCAAAAAUAACCCCUUGGACAAAACGGCUUUUUUUUUUCUUUCUUCCCCAUAAGUGACUGUCCUGACAAUGUCCUUCCAGGAAAUUUCGUUGGUUGGGACAAAAACUUCACAGGCAGCAAUACUUCAAAUUGGAAUCGGUCAAGAUGCCACACCAGAAACUGGUAAUUGUAACCUUUUCCUCUUCUAAAUAGUUACAGACAAUCUGUUCCAUAUGCUCAGCUUUUUUUUGGGGGGGGGGGGAAUCAGCAGUUGACACCAUAUUAAACAAAAAAAAGAGAGUCUAAACUGAAUUAAAAACAUUACAAUUUCCAAACUUGAUAUUUUGGGCCUUAGCAGCAAGACCAAAAUUAGAAAAUUUUGUUAUAUGUAAAAACAGGAUGAGAUGUGGAUAAAUUCUGAACAGCUUUCUUUAGUGCAAAACUAAAGCUUCCCCUUGUAUAUGGAACAAAACAGACAUUUAGUGAAUUUGCAAUAAAAAUGGGAAUCAGAAUAACAGCCUUCAGAGAUUCAGCAACCUAGCUGAAAGUUAAGUCAACACCAUGUUUCCUGAUAGCAGGAAAGCUUUAGAAACAAGUAGCAUGCUCAUUAUAUACAUAGUGAAGAAUAUUAAGAAAUGGAACCACUUUUCCUUGUCUAUGAAGAUACGGUUUUAUUAGACUACAAAACGUAAUUCUAAAUAAAUCAAACUUGAGCUCCAGCUGUACCUCAAAUUCAGCCUGUUGACAGUGUUUCUUCACUAGCAGUUUUUGCAGUAUAACUAAAAACGACAAUUAUAUUUCAUCAUGCCUGGUGAAGCUAUUUUAGCUAUUUUUAAUUAAAGGAAGAAUUGGGAAUGUCUAAACUUUUUGUUCCGGUUUUGAUCAAGAUGUAUUAUUUUUUUUCUACAUAUUUUAUUUGGGACAUUGCUAAUAGUUGGUUUCCAUUGAAAUAUUUCUGCUGAAUAAAGCUUUUAUGCUGAGGACACGAGCACAGGAUCGUUUCCUAUAAGUGAGAGCCAUAUGUGCAUGCACUCACACAUAUACAUUAUACACACACAUAUACAUACAUAUAUGUACACACACACACACACACAGAGCCACUGUUAUGAAAGUUUUAUUCAUUACUAUUAGGGCUUUCUAGUUCUUGCUCCCUUUUUUUAACAAGUAUCCAUUUUAUUUUACAACUUAACAUUUAUUUAUAAUAUUCAUAUUUUGUAUUGCCAACACUACAAAGACACCAUCAUUAAAAAAAAACCUCAUAAAAAUUAUAACUUAUAACCAACCACAAACCACACAUUACAACUUAACUCCAGCACUUAUAUUAAGUGACAAUGUUUCAACUCUUUAAAAGCCAAUUAAUAACAUUUUGAUUAAGGGGUUUGGGGAAGAGCCAUUUCCAUGGCCCUCCUGAAUACUAUCAUAGAAGGCACCAUUCAGAUCUCCAAAGUAAGGAUAGCAUGUACAUCCUCCUCCAAAUUAUGCUCCUGAUGUCAUAUGGCAAGUGGUACUUUCCACAUUUCCAUCUGGGAUGAAUGAACCAGGGUCAGUUCUAUGCACAAAGACUUACUGGAAGCUAAUCAGUAUUCCCCACAACUGGUGAUUAUAUUUUACUGGCAGCUUUCAUCGACUAGCAACUUUCCAUUUUGCAUCAACUUUGAGGCACUCGUCAAAGAUAGCCCCCGAUAGAACAAAUUGUAGCAUGCAGUAUUUUUCUUUUUGACAGCCCAUAUGCUGGCAUCAGCAAUACAAAAAGCCCUUCUCUCCAAGGUCAAGCGCAACCCAGAGCAUUAUCUUGCUAACAUGUGAUAAUAAAGUGAACACAUUUUUAGUGAUGGAAUUUUUAAGGGAAAUAAAACAGAGGAAGUUGUAGCAAAGCAAAACAAACAGGUCAAACACUCCCAAGUCUACUUCCUUAGUGGCAUUAUUGCAUAACUGGAUAUACUACAAUUAUAAGGCAAAUAUAUAUUAAAAAGUAUGCUUCCCAAAUGAAAAAGUAGACUCUUAUAGACAUGGCAAACUGUGAAAACUAAAUAAAUAAAAAUGCUUCAAUCCAUAACAUGUUUUCCGGGAAGACUUUUGACUUGGGACUGAUGAUUGAUUCCUAAUUGAUCCCUUCCUUGAGAUGGACCUCUGAAAAUUUGAUCUAGAAGGUUCCAGAAUCCUCUGAAUAUGUACAAGAUGCACAUGGGGAAGGGGGGAAAUUGAUAUAUCGUUCCUCUACACUUCAGAGAAUGCACUGUGCUUUGGCAAAAGCAGACUCUAUAUCCAAUUCAUUAUAUGUGUGUGUGUCUGUGUGUAUGCAUAUGCAUGUAUGUAUAUGUAUAUAUAUGUAUAUAAUAUAAAUAUAAUUUAUUUGAUAUAAGCUGUAUGCGCAAGAGUCCGAGAUUUGAAAAUACCAAUGUACAGUUAGUACAUUUAGUAAUCGAAAUUUCAAAUGGUCUCUUCUAAAGGAAUGCUUCUAGUUACAGCAUCAGAGCAAUUAUUUUUUUAAAAAAAUCUGAGAUUUGAAAUAAUCUGAAACUCUCAGGCAUUAUUGCUUUAUUUUAGUCUAAUUAAAUUAAGAACAGCACAAUGGUCACAGCAAUAUUAAUUUAUUAAAAACAUCCUCAGAGAUACCGACUGUUCAACUGUAUACUUCAUGAUCUUUCAUUCCGUACUUUAUGCAAGCAAAACAGGAGUCUGUUCAACCUAUGCCACAUACUGGAAACUUGAUACAAUUGAUGUUACAUAAAAACAAAACUAAAUGGGUUCCAUUGUUGUUGAUAUUUUGAUUUAAAUACUGGAAUAAGAAUAUUAACUAAGGAUGCUACAAGUCUAGAAGAAAUAGUACAUGACAAGGUUCAACCUACACGUGAAAAGGAAUUCAGGGAACUGCCGAAAACAAGCAAGAUGCAAGUGUCGCACCUUUUAGAAGGACUAGCAAUUACUUGGAAACUUAAUUUUUAUUUAAUCUUACAACAUUGGCAAAAAAGGUUACAAAAUUACUGUAAUGAACUUAUGCCCAGAAGUGCCUGUGAGUAUUUUCAGGAACAGUACCAAAUUAAGGGAUUACAGGAUCGUAAAAAUGGAGUACUCUUAAUAAGAUUGUUUUAAACUAUGUGGGCAAUUUUAUUUGCCCAUCAUGUUCAGGCUGGGGAUCCAAAAACUAUUAAACUAAUUACAAGACCAAAGCUGCCCUCACACAGAACUCCAUAACACUCCAUGGCAAUUGCUUUUGAAACUGAGACGUGUAUCAGUCCACAAUUUUAUUAUGUAAAGGAAACAUGAUAGUAACUAUCAAGGCCAAAAAGACAGUAAAUCCACAGCUGAAAUAACUGCCUCAUCAGUGUAAAACCAUCAUUAAACUAGCAAGAGCCACUUAACAGGACAAUAAUUUCAACCUGCAGUGUUAUCUUGGCUCUGAAAGUAUGAAAAAUGUUGGUGGACUUUAAUUCCAAUGUGUGCCUGAUUUGAGGAAAAUAAGUUUUAUUAGCACAAAAUAUACAUGCACUAAAAAAAUUUACUUAAACAUAUGAAUUUAAUAUUUCAUUUUAUUCAGCAAAUUGGUUUAUUUACACAAUUGGGAAUGCUGGUUGAAUUUUAUCAGUGGAAUAAAAACAAUUCUAGUAGAGACAAUACUGAACUCCCUUUACACAUCUCCAGCAACACUGACCAACUUUUUCCUUACCUGUAUCAGGAACAUCAAGCACAAUAGUGGAAUAGUAUCAAAAGACACUGGUAUAACAAACCACUGAGGAUCCAGUACACCGUGGGAAUUUACCAAUAUAUUUGCCAAACUUUUUUUUUUAAGUUAGCAAAAUAAAACCAGCUUUAAUAGUUAGCAUCAGAGUAUAACUCUGAGAUCAGCGGGUAGUAAAAACCUUAUCAGACCAUACAUAAUUAAUAAAGUGAUCUGAUCUGCAUCAAACCACUUUAUCACAGAAUCAAAAGAUAAGAAUAAAUUUAUUCUUUAAGACAAUGAUCUGAUAAGGAUUUAACUUAACAGACGUUAAAAUAAGAGAUGCAGAGCACAGCCCCUAUUAGAACAAGCUAACUU
Molecule: long non-coding RNA, 5207 nt
Organism: Thamnophis sirtalis
Lineage: Eukaryota; Metazoa; Chordata; Lepidosauria; Squamata; Natricidae
Source: RefSeq, a predicted model, not a curated record